Molecule: transfer RNA, 73 nt
Filed under: Diaphorina citri (Asian citrus psyllid)
Lineage: Eukaryota; Metazoa; Arthropoda; Insecta; Hemiptera; Psyllidae
Rfam family: tRNA
About the family: Transfer RNA (tRNA) molecules are approximately 80 nucleotides in length. Their secondary structure includes four short double-helical elements and three loops (D, anti-codon, and T loops).
Source: Rfam by way of RNAcentral
GCCUUGUUAGCUUGGUUGGUAGAGCGUCUGCCUUGUAAGCGCUAGGUCACGGGUUCCAUUCCCGCUCAGGACG